GUCACAGACCGCAGGAACUGUAGGGGUCCGGAGGACACGCUGGUGUCGACAGUCACUUACCAGCGGCUCAGAAGGGAGCACACUUCACUUUAUGUGCUACUCUCAGCAACUGGACCUGUUGAUGUGACCUAUGCUGAGGUUGACCUUAAACAGAAGGCCAAAGCCAAGAAGAAGAAAGAAACAUCAACCCCACCUGAGGCAGAUUCAGUCUAUUCUCAAUUGAAGCCAGGUACAGCUUCA
Salvelinus namaycush (lake trout) is the source of this 240-nucleotide long non-coding RNA. RefSeq lists it as uncharacterized. The record is from RefSeq and is a predicted model, not a curated record. The transcript has 3 exons. Lineage: Eukaryota; Metazoa; Chordata; Actinopteri; Salmoniformes; Salmonidae.